UCCUCGUUUAAGCGAGGCAGUCUGUCCGCCGUUGUCUAGCCCAGGUAAGGUUCUUCGCGUUGCGUCGAAUUGAACCACAUGCUCCACCGCUUGUGCGGGCCCCCGUCAAUUCCUUUGAGUUUUAAUCUUGCGACCGUACUCCCCAGGCGGGGCACUUAAUGCGUUAGCUGCGGCACCCAGGGGGUCAAUACCCCGGACACCUAGUGCCCAUCGUUUACAGCGUGGACUAC
Molecule: unclassified non-coding RNA, 230 nt
Filed under: uncultured delta proteobacterium
Lineage: Bacteria; Deltaproteobacteria
Description: contains 16S-23S intergenic spacer region
Source: RNAcentral